Molecule: transfer RNA, 74 nt
Filed under: Mugil cephalus (flathead mullet)
Lineage: Eukaryota; Metazoa; Chordata; Actinopteri; Mugiliformes; Mugilidae
Description: tRNA-Lys
Rfam family: tRNA
About the family: Transfer RNA (tRNA) molecules are approximately 80 nucleotides in length.
Source: RNAcentral
CGCUAAGAAGCUAAAACGGGUUAAGCGUUAGCCUUUUAAGCUAAUAACUGGUGACUCCCAACCACCCCUAGCGA